UCGUCGAAUGGCUCGUAGAGGAGGGCAGGGCGGCUACAAUUCGCCCGUGAGGAACUGCGCGCGGCCGUGGCCGAAGCUCCAGUCCUCGUCGGUGUUC
This 97-nucleotide transfer RNA is filed under the name Methylobacterium haplocladii. RNAcentral's name for it is "tRNA-Cys". The record is from RNAcentral. Lineage: Bacteria; Pseudomonadati; Pseudomonadota; Alphaproteobacteria; Hyphomicrobiales; Methylobacteriaceae.